Candidatus Gottesmanbacteria bacterium is the source of this 71-nucleotide non-coding RNA. The record is from Rfam. Lineage: Bacteria; Candidatus Gottesmaniibacteriota.
UUCGGGAUCGUUCAAUGGUAGGACAACAGCCUUUGGAGCUGUGAAUCUACGUUCGAAUCGUAGUCCCGAAG